AGGCUUCCCGGAGCAGGGGCCGUCCGACUAGGCGUACAUCCKYGGUGCCCGACGCAUUUGUCUCUCGUCCGAAGGACGCCGCAGCCGGUCGGGCAGUGCAAGCGCGACGGCCUGAAGGGCGGGAAAUGGCAGGUGGCCGGUGGCUCUCUUUUUGAAGGUCGCCGGUUGUUAGCCGUCCCGUCAGUGGCUCGUCGCUCGACCGAGGUGUCACGAGGCCCUCAAGGGCCCUCACGCCUCCUCCCACKUGAAGUCGGGAMAAACCGGUCGCAGGGSCAKUCSSCCGUCCCGYCGCACUCUUMCGGAGUGGUCGGGCGAACGGAAGGAGCCGUKGGSGACGGGGGGCCCSUSGGAGGCUGGAGGCUUGCGGCGAGUAGGUCGGUCACCCMCCCGACCCSUCUUGAAACACGGACCAAGGAGUCUAACAUKUGCGCGAGUCAAUGGGUCUUGAAAAGGCCCAGGGGCGCAAUGAAAGCAAAGGUCGRWGCACGCCGACCGAGUUGGGAUCCCCUCUUCGAGGGGGGCGCACCAACGACCCGUCCUAUCCSGCUCGCCGGUUGGGCGGAGUGUGAGCGUACACGUUGGGACCCGAAAGAUGGUGAACUAUGCCCGGACAGGACGAGGCCAGAG
This 627-nucleotide ribosomal RNA is filed under the name Mituliodon tarantulinus. Its description in RNAcentral is "partial 28S ribosomal RNA". The stretch from base 409 to 627 matches the Rfam family "Eukaryotic large subunit ribosomal RNA", at positions 665 to 857 of the family's 3401-position model. The record is from RNAcentral. Lineage: Eukaryota; Metazoa; Arthropoda; Arachnida; Araneae; Miturgidae.